Molecule: long non-coding RNA, 4189 nt
Organism: Peromyscus californicus insignis
Lineage: Eukaryota; Metazoa; Chordata; Mammalia; Rodentia; Cricetidae
Exons: 3
Source: RefSeq, a predicted model, not a curated record
UGACUUCCCUGACUCCUUCCUGUGUGUGGUGGUCCUGGAGUCCAUCAGAUGUGGCUAGCAGAGCAAGAGGGCUGUAGAAAGCCAAAUUUCCCUGAUCUGCACCUCACCGGGUAAACUUCCUUCAUGUCAGCCUGCUUUCCAAGACCUCUGGCCUCAGGCUGUAAUCCCAUGCAGAUGAACUCCCAUGUUAGGAUGACAGUGUGGGAUGAACAGUCACCGGUGCCUGAUUCUUGGAUGAAGAACUGUUGCGUAAGACUAUAGACAUGUAUAUUGAAGCCUGGACAUGGUGGCACAUGCCUCUGACUCCAACACCAGAGAAGUUGAGGCCGGAGGAUUGGAAACUUGAGGCCAACCCAGGCUAUAUAAAAAGGUCUUGUCCUAAAAAGAAAGAAAACAAAAGACGAAAGGAAACAUGUAGACUUAAAACUUCAGGAUCUCGGCAGCUGGCCAGGAUGAUCAAGUUGUUUCAGAAGUUCCUCUUAUCCUGUGAUCCUAGCAAAAGGGUGGGUGUCAUUUUCAAAUCUCUACCUAGUCUUUCCCCGCUCCAAUAGUAGUCUGCUCCUCCUCCUCCUCCUCCCCCUCCUCCUCCUCCUCCUCUCUCUCUCUCUCUCUCUCUCUCUCUCUCUCUCUCUCUCUCUCUCUCCCUCUCCCCCUCUCCCUCUCCCUCUCCCUCUCCCUCUUCCCCCUCUCUGAACCAAAUGGUUCAGCUGCUGCAAAUUGACAUUUUUAAUUUUGGGAGCUGAAUUAUAAAAACCACAAAUGCAGCCUGUUGCGAACUUGGUGACCAAGAGAAAAUGAAUAAUGGUGACUGGCCCUCUGAGAGGACACCCACUAGCCACAGAGACACUCUUCUGCCACUGUCCAUGAGUAUGGUUUUCCUAGUUUGCAGAUGUAUUUGGUCUUUUAUAUUAAGACCUAGAUGGCUCAGACUUUGGUGUGCCAGCAUGUGUCAGUCACAGACAGAGGCGAGUAGGUGGAGCCUGAGCAGUUGGCUUUAAGCAGCUCAGCCUAAGUGACAGAUGAGGCAGUUGGAGGUAUAGACGUAGAUGUUUUCUCUGCAUAUUCUUGACCUUCAGCCUGGCCUAUAGCACUGAGCAGAUGUGGAUGGCUUGUACAUGCACCCUUCAAAAUUCAUAUUGAUUCUCCUUUCUUAUUAUGUGACAUUAAGAAGUAGGAGGGGAUUGAAUCAAGGGGCUCCAUCAUCACAAAUGGUUAGUCCCUUAAAAAGAGACUGGGAGAACCCUUCUCUUUGCCUUGGACCGUACGAGAUGUAAUACUGGUCUUCUCUGGCAGACAUAGCACCAUCCUAGAAAUCCUAACUGGCCUUUGACCUUCGACUUUUACCCCCCAGAGCUGUGAGAAGUGCAUUUCCAUUCUAUAUAAAUUGCUAUAGCAACACAGAUGGACCAUGACAAGCCACUUUAUUAAUAUUACCUGAAUAUAUUCACAGGGUCUGGUGAAAAUUUCUCCUUUUGAAUGAAAAUGUUGAGGUAUGUGCCAUGGGUUGAAAUGAAUGUGAUUUCCUGUAAAACUGAACAUUGGACAUUGACCUCUAUGGUAUUAUCUGUAAUUUGCUAAAUGCCUACACUGUGCUGUGUCCUGUACUGGGGACUUUCUGUGUGGUUACCUGAGGAACUCCUGACUGAGGCUGGGGCCUGACACAAGAGGACCUGGAUGCUUAGGAGGCCAGCUGUUUGCCCCCGGGGCACCUAGUUUAUGGCAGAUGCAGUAUGGACUUGAACCUAGGUCUGUGAGGAUAUGGGCACCAUGUUGGUGCCCACCCUGCACACUUUACAAAAUUCCUGGAAGAACAAACUCAAUCGAAGAGGCAAAAGGACUUUACAUGCUUUUAAACUCUGUUCCAGUAUCAGGAGAUUGCGGGACUGAAAGUUCACCAUCAGAACCUUCCCCUGGGCCCCAUGUACUCCGAGUCCAUUUAUUCCCUUGGUUCUGUGCUGUCUGAGACGAUGUCUCAGACACUUCCAUCUUUCACUCCUCACCACUUUCUCUCUGUUGCUUGUUUGUCUGGCCGAGGUCAUGACUUUACCACCCACGAGCCCUGCCUAUCUCUUCCGUUAAGCAGGUGUCCUUGCUUGGUUCAUGGUUUACCUUGAACCUCCUUCAUGCCCUGAUCCAUCGUGGACUUCUUGGCAUCCCUAUUCCAGUCCCAGGUCUAGUGACGUCUCUGGUACCCUCUUCUCAAUUGGUGGAUGGUUGGAAUGGGCUGGGUGGAGGACAGAGUCAUGAUUUUGUGGAGACAGGCCUAGGGGACUGGAAUUCUGUCUCUGGGAGACUGACUUUAGCCUGAUGGUCUAUCUCUUCCUAGAACGAGCUAAUACAAACCCCCUGAUAAACAUAUUUGCAUGGAGUAUCUCUGUGACCCCGGAAGCCUGGAGAGGAUUUCAGUGGGGAACUCGGUAAUGGGGACACUCUGCCACAAGUACAUUUUGGGAGCUGCAAUGUUCCCAGUCUAGAUAACUGUCAUUGUCUUUUGUUUGAUGUCAUUGAACUGAUGUCCUGAGUUUAGGUUUGUUUGACCUAGAAACCUGGGUAUUAGCUGGUAAGCAGAAUUGCCAUCUCAGUCACAGAGGGCUUCUUAAAGUUUGUCCAAAGAGAAGCCGCAGGGUACCUACCUAUAAUGGGACUGCUGGAUGGCAGAGGCCAGGACUGUCCGCUCACAGGUGUGCUGAGGCUGGGGGUCAAAGAGACUCUAAAUCAGAGAUGAUUGUGUAUUUCCCCAUAUCACUCAGCAAGUGGGCACCUUUUCUGAGCCCAUGCCUGCCCAUCUACAUCCUGGGGGUAGAGAGGGAGGGCAAGGUUUGCAGGCUAGGAAGCAUCUCUCAUUCCAGGCAGUAAGGAGCCCUUGGGGCUGGUAGGAGGGGAGUGCCUACAGGUCUGCCCAUCACUUCUCAAGUCCAACUUUAGACCUAGCCUCUAUUUUUCACUUAGUAGAAGCUCUUGAUGGGCGCCGUGGUGGUGGCGGAGGCUAAUUGCACGGAGCCUGGAGCUAAUGCAGAUGCUGUAAUUCCUGUCACCUUCUCACAGCUCAGUAGGAGCUUCUGAUGAAUAACAUGUGGCGUUCAGAGGCUGAGCACAUCAGUCGCAUGCGUCGCUGGCAGAGGUCUGGCAGGGCACCAGAGCAGUGGGGGAGCACAGUGCCACCUUGCCAAGUCUUUAAUUAAAAGAGGAAAUAUGUCAGAACCUACUCGGCCACUGUCCAACCUAACAGGUCUUCCCUAGUGUCAGUGAACAUUGCUGUUAAAAGACUUGAUGUAGGGCUAGAGAGAUGGCUCAGUGGUUAAGAUUAUUUGCUUCUCUUGAAGAGGACUCAGUUUCAGUUCCCAGCACCCAAAUGGGGCUCACAAUCAUCCAUGACUCCAGUUCUAGGGGAUCCAGUGCUCUUUUUCUGACCUUUGCAGGCCCCUGCUAUGUACAUGGUGUACAUACAUAUGUGCAGGCAAAACAUCCAUAUGCACAAAAUAAUAAAUACAUCUACCUUAUUUAUUUAUUUUUUUAAAAAGGACUUUGAUGGGAGUCAGCCAUUCCCCUGAGCCUGCUCCCUGAGGGAGGAGAGAGACUAUCGGAACAUGCUAGGGCUGAGAAAUGGUCACCUGGGAAAGGUCUUUCAGUCUUGGGGGGUCUCCCUGCAGGUCCCCCAUGGCAGCCUGGGGAUCUUGCCUUUCUGCAUCUCUUGCUUGGGAACAGUAACCUUCAGAGAUCAGGAAGAGCCUGGGAUUCAGACAACUCAAUAAAGUCACAAUAAAACAUCCAAAGCCUUCUAUUCUCCCUCACUUCUUUAACUCAAUUUAUUUUUCAUUUUGUGGACAGAGAUUUAGUCUGGGUAUUAGUUUAUGAUUUUUACUGAAGGAAUUACUCAACACACACACAUAUAAAAAGGAAAUAUUAUUUUUAUCAUUCAUUUUGUGCCAUGUAUACCAUAGGAGGAGAAAACAGAGUGAAAUCACUUCAGUACUGCUGUUUUUCAUUACAAAGUUAUUACAUAUAGAAAUUACUCCAAAUUAUCUGAAAUGAAUGGAAAUUAUGAGGUUUAAAUUCCCCAGGUUACUGCAGGCACAGCUCUGGAAAUUUAUUUUGUCAUCUUGCUGAACAUAAUUGCUACAACAAAAUUUCUUCCAUUUUACAACUGCGGUAUAACUUAUUUAUACCGCUGUAGCAGUAAUUUUACAUC